GCGACAGACUCCUACGGGAGGCAGCAGUGAGGAAUAUUGGUCAAUGGGCUUACGCCUGAACCAGCCAAGUCGCGUGAGGGAAGACCGCCCUAUGGGUUGUAAACCUCUUUUGUCAGGGAGCAACGCCGGCUACGUGUAGCCGGACUGAGAGUACCUGAAGAAAAAGCAUCGGCUAACUCCGUGCCAGCAGCCGCGGUAAUACGGAGGAUGCGAGCGUUAUCCGGAUUUAUUGGGUUUAAAGGGUGCGUAGGGGGUCGGGAAGGUCAGGGGUAAAGGCCGGGGGCUCACCCCGGGCGAGCCGUUGAAACUGUCGGACUAGAGACGGCGAGAAGUACGCGGAAUGCGCGGUGUAGCGGUGAAAUGCAUAGAUAUCACGCAGAACUCCGAUUGCGAAGGCAGCAUACCGGCGCGCAACUGACGCUCAUGCACGAAAGCGUGGGUAUCGAACAGGAUUAGAUACCCUGGUA
This 467-nucleotide ribosomal RNA is filed under the name uncultured bacterium. RNAcentral's name for it is "bacterial SSU rRNA". It matches the Rfam family "Bacterial small subunit ribosomal RNA", at positions 328 to 792 of the family's 1533-position model. The record is from RNAcentral.